Molecule: transfer RNA, 71 nt
Filed under: Loxodonta africana (African savanna elephant)
Lineage: Eukaryota; Metazoa; Chordata; Mammalia; Proboscidea; Elephantidae
Rfam family: tRNA
About the family: Transfer RNA (tRNA) molecules are approximately 80 nucleotides in length. Their secondary structure includes four short double-helical elements and three loops (D, anti-codon, and T loops). Further hydrogen bonds mediate the characteristic L-shaped molecular structure. tRNAs have two regions of fundamental functional importance: the anti-codon, which is responsible for specific mRNA codon recognition, and the 3' end, to which the tRNAs corresponding amino acid is attached (by aminoacyl-tRNA synthetases). tRNAs cope with the degeneracy of the genetic code in two manners: having more than one tRNA (with a specific anti-codon) for a particular amino acid; and 'wobble' base-pairing, i.e. permitting non-standard base-pairing at the 3rd anti-codon position.
Source: Rfam by way of RNAcentral
GCAGUGGCGAUUCCAUGGUAGAAUUUUCACCUCCUGUGCAGGAGACCUGGGUUCAAUUCCCAGCCAAUGCA